UCAUGUACUUGCACAAAGCAGUGAGGCUCAUGACCUGAUGAGGACUGCUGGUGGGUGAUGACAGUUUAAGUGAUCCCUAUAGUUCUGCUCAGUUGCACUGUUCAGAAUAUACAAAAUCUAACUUGAUUCAGAAAGCAACUACAUUAAACAUCAAGAGAAAGAUCAAGGACAGCAUAAGUAACAAGUCAGAGAUCCAAGAAGUGUUGUGCAACUGCUCUCUGUUAUCACUUUCUCUCUUAGAGUUCACUCCUGGUGGUAUGUGAGCUCAUGAUCCUCAGCAGGUCUUCAGGCAUUAUGCUCAGACUUGCCAUUGUGGCCAUGAGAACUCCUCAGCUGCAGAAGACAAAGGCAUGCUGCCCACACAAUACAUGGUUCCAGCAGCUGUGCCUUCCAUUGACUCAAGCUGGAAGAAAUGUAGAUCAAAUACCAACAAUAACAGAUCAAUGUUGUAAAUAUUAGCAUGAGAAAGAGUGCACCAAACUCCAAGUGUGUCUUUUUUGUCUGGUUGUAAUAAAGUUUCUCAAGAAUUUUGCACAUGGGGACAAGAGUGUGUAUGCACACGUAUUCUAAGCGCCUCAGAAACAGGCAGCAGCAUGUUUUCUUGUACAAAUAUUGACAAGAAUCCUUCAGUUUAUUUGGAAUUUUCCUAAGAAAGCGGCAACAAUACAGUAAUACCUCUUUGCUACUUUCCACACAGUUGUUUCAACUGCUGGCACCAGGAAAUCCUUUUUGUUUUAAUCAACACCACUUGGAGUGAUGACGUUUCCUUUUUUCUUUUAGUGACAGACAUGGUGCAUUUCCUUGCACAGAGUUCUCAUGAGAGACUUUUGUGCAUGUAUAUCCAACUGCAAAAGUGUAUUUGUGAGGUAGCUGAAAGAGGUCACUAUAUUUUCUUCUUCUAUUUUUCAUCCCAAUAC
Tympanuchus pallidicinctus (lesser prairie-chicken) is the source of this 917-nucleotide long non-coding RNA. RefSeq lists it as uncharacterized. Lineage: Eukaryota; Metazoa; Chordata; Aves; Galliformes; Phasianidae. The transcript is spliced from 4 exons. The record is from RefSeq and is a predicted model, not a curated record.